UCGCAUCUGUGCAUGCAGCAUAUCAAUAAGCGGAGGAAAAGAAACUAACAAGGAUUCCCUUAGUAACGGCGAGUGAAGCGGGAAGAGCUCAAAUUUGAAAUCUUCAAGGUUUUACCUUGACGAAUUGUAGUUUAAAGAAGUGUUUUCUGUUGAAGUUUUGGUAAAAGUUCUUUGGAAUAGGACAUCAUAGAGGGUGAGAAUCCCGUAUUUGACCAUUAUUUUCAGCUGUGUGAUACACUUUCAAAGAGUCGGAUUGUUUGGGAAUGCAGUCCAAAAUGGGUGGUAAAUUUCAUCUAAAGCUAAAUAUUGGCGAGAGACCGAUAGCGAACAAGUACCGUGAGGGAAAGAUGAAAAGAACUUUGAAAAGAGAGUUAAACAGUACGUGAAAUUGUCAAAAGGGAAGCGUUUGACACCAGUGUUGUUUUCUCGAAAAUCAAUUAAAAAGAGUUAGAUUUUGUUGUGUAUUGACCUUAACAGCUUGCAUUUCAAUUUUCUUGCUUUUUUUUAUGCACUUUUCGUUUAACAAGUCAACAUCAGUUUCUUUUGUUGUAAAAAGGUCAUUGGAAGGUGGCUUUCUUUUCGGAGAAAGUGUUUAUAGCCUUUGACUCCUGCAAUCGGAGAGACUGAGGUCUGCAGCGUAGAUCCUUCGGGGUUAGAUACAUUUGUGCUAAGUUAUAGCUUUUUAUAGACAACUUGUUGACUAUGAUUAGUCUUGUAGCUUACUCGCUUAUGCUAUUUUACCUACGCUUAGGAUGUUGACGCGCGUGUGUGCGUGAGUCUAUACAUGACUCUGUGCAUAUCAAUAAGCGGAGGAAAAGUAAAUGCUGUAUACCUACGCUUAGGAUGUUGACGCGCGUGUGUGCGUG
Molecule: ribosomal RNA, 866 nt
Filed under: uncultured Neocallimastigales
Lineage: Eukaryota; Fungi; Neocallimastigomycota; Neocallimastigomycetes; Neocallimastigales
Description: partial large subunit ribosomal RNA
Rfam family: Eukaryotic large subunit ribosomal RNA
Source: RNAcentral